GAUGAACGCUGGCGGCGUGCUUAACACAUGCAAGUCGAGCGAUGAAGUUUCCUUCGGGAAACGGAUUAGCGGCGGACGGGUGAGUAACACGUGGGUAACCUGCCUCAUAGAGUGGAAUAGCCUUCCGAAAGGAAGAUUAAUACCGCAUAAUGUUGAAAGAUGGCAUCAUCAUUCAACCAAAGGAGCAAUCCGCUAUGAGAUGGACCCGCGGCGCAUUAGCUAGUUGGUGGGGUAACGGCCUACCAAGGCGACGAUGCGUAGCCGACCUGAGAGGGUGAUCGGCCGCAUUGGGACUGAGACACGGCCCAG
This 309-nucleotide ribosomal RNA is filed under the name uncultured bacterium. Its description in RNAcentral is "bacterial SSU rRNA". It matches the Rfam family "Bacterial small subunit ribosomal RNA", at positions 28 to 334 of the family's 1533-position model. The record is from RNAcentral.